CCUUUGAAUUUUUUCUCAAGGUUGACCUCGGAUCAGGUAGGGAUACCCGCUGAAC
RNAcentral lists this ribosomal RNA (55 nucleotides) under Dothiorella sarmentorum. RNAcentral describes it as "partial 28S ribosomal RNA". The record is from RNAcentral. Lineage: Eukaryota; Fungi; Ascomycota; Dothideomycetes; Botryosphaeriales; Botryosphaeriaceae.